GGAAGGGGUCUCAACCAAUUUCAAAAUAUCAAAAUGUUAGAUCAAAGUAUGUUCUGUGGUGACAGAGUAAUUGAGCUAUAAAACAUUAUGAAAAAAAAAUGAGAAAUUUCUGUUUGGAAAUUAAGAAAUAAAUUAAUAAAUAAUUAGUGUGUCACAAAAGGAACCACAAUGGAAAUUAGAUAAUACUGCACUUUGGACUGCAUGGCGAUCAAAAUUUGUAGAACACAGCCAAAUGUGCACCCAUAAGAAAAUGUGUAUCAGUAAAUGUAUCAAUUAGAAAAGAAAGAAGAACAAAUAUAAAUGAAAUGAGCAUCCAACUCAAGAAAUUAGGAAAAGUGCAGCAAGUCAAAACCAAACACACUGGAACGAAAGGAAAGAUAAUGAGGAGAGCAGAAAUUGGCAAAGUAGAAAACAAAUAUACAAUACACGUUACUGAUCAAAAAAGUCAAGAGGUGGUUCUUUGAAAAUACUAACAAGGUUAAGAAAGUCCUAUUAAGAUUGA
RNAcentral lists this long non-coding RNA (502 nucleotides) under Marmota monax (woodchuck). The record is from RNAcentral. Lineage: Eukaryota; Metazoa; Chordata; Mammalia; Rodentia; Sciuridae.